This 23-nucleotide small nuclear RNA is filed under the name Arabidopsis thaliana (thale cress). Its description in RNAcentral is "snRNA_18553". The record is from RNAcentral. Lineage: Eukaryota; Viridiplantae; Streptophyta; Magnoliopsida; Brassicales; Brassicaceae.
UUUUGCCAAAGUAAUCUAAACAA